AGCCCCAUCGUCUAGUGGUCAAGGACACGAGGCUCUGAACCUCGUUACAUCGGUUCGAAUCCGAUUGGGGCUA
Molecule: transfer RNA, 73 nt
Filed under: Microcaldota archaeon
Lineage: Archaea; Nanobdellati; Microcaldota
Description: tRNA-Gln
Rfam family: tRNA
About the family: Transfer RNA (tRNA) molecules are approximately 80 nucleotides in length. Their secondary structure includes four short double-helical elements and three loops (D, anti-codon, and T loops).
Source: RNAcentral